UCUAUCCCCAAUAAAA
This 16-nucleotide transfer RNA is filed under the name Carex projecta. RNAcentral describes it as "partial tRNA-Leu". Lineage: Eukaryota; Viridiplantae; Streptophyta; Magnoliopsida; Poales; Cyperaceae. The record is from RNAcentral.